Molecule: transfer RNA, 76 nt
Filed under: Polaromonas sp.
Lineage: Bacteria; Pseudomonadati; Pseudomonadota; Betaproteobacteria; Burkholderiales; Comamonadaceae
Description: tRNA-Lys
Rfam family: tRNA
About the family: Transfer RNA (tRNA) molecules are approximately 80 nucleotides in length. Their secondary structure includes four short double-helical elements and three loops (D, anti-codon, and T loops).
Source: RNAcentral
GGGUUCUUAGCUCAGCUGGUAGAGCAGCGGACUUUUAAUCCGUUUGUCGCGGGUUCGACCCCCGCAGAACCCACCA